GAUGAACGCUGACGGCGUGCCUAAUACAUGCCAGUCGAGCGAACAGACGAGGAGCUUGCUCCUCUGACGUUAGCGGCGGACGGGUGAGUAACACGUGGAUAACCUACCUAUAAGACUGGGAUAACUUCGGGAAACCGGAGCUAAUACCGGAUAAUAUAUUGAACCGCAUGGUUCAAUAGUGAAAGACGGUUUUGCUGUCACUUAUAGAUGGAUCCGCGCCGCAUUAGCUAGUUGGUAAGGUAACGGCUUACCAAGGCAACGAUGCGUAGCCGACCUGAGAGAGUGAUCGGCCACACUGGAACUGAGACACGGUCCAGACUCCUACGGGAGGCAGCAGUAGGGAAUCUUCCGCAAUGGGCGAAAACUUGACGGAGCAACGCCGCGUGAGUGAUGAAGGUCUUCGGAUCGUAAAACUCUGUUAUUAGGGAAGAACAAAUGUGUAAGUAACUAUGCACGUCUUGACGGUACCUAAUCAGAAAGCCACGGCUAACUACGUG
This 497-nucleotide ribosomal RNA is filed under the name uncultured bacterium. RNAcentral's name for it is "partial 16S ribosomal RNA". It matches the Rfam family "Bacterial small subunit ribosomal RNA", at positions 28 to 507 of the family's 1533-position model. The record is from RNAcentral.